RNAcentral lists this non-coding RNA (520 nucleotides) under uncultured Glomus. RNAcentral describes it as "SSU rRNA". It matches the Rfam family "Eukaryotic small subunit ribosomal RNA", at positions 569 to 1084 of the family's 1831-position model. RNAcentral also lists the same sequence under 1 other name. Lineage: Eukaryota; Fungi; Glomeromycota; Glomeromycetes; Glomerales; Glomeraceae. The record is from RNAcentral.
AGCAGCCGCGGUAAUUCCAGCUCCAAUAGCGUAUAUUAAAGUUGUUGCAGUUAAAAAGCUCGUAGUUGAAUUUCGGGAUUGACACAUCGGUCGUGCCUUAAGGGGUAUGAACUGGUGUAGUCAAUUUCUCACCUUCUGGAGAACCGCGAUGCCCUUAAUUGGGUGUCGCGGGGAACCAGGACCUUUACUUUGAAAAAAUUAGAGUGUUUAAAGCAGGCAUUUUGCUUGAAUACAUUAGCAUGGAAUAAUAAAAUAGGACGGCAUGAUUCUAUUUUGUUGGUUUCUAGGAUCACCGUAAUGAUUAAUAGGGAUAGUUGGGGGCAUUAGUAUUCAAUUGUCAGAGGUGAAAUUCUUGGAUUUAUUGAAGACUAACUACUGCGAAAGCAUUUGCCAAGGAUGUUUUCAUUAAUCAAGAACGAAAGUUAGGGGAUCGAAGACGAUCAGAUACCGUCGUAGUCUUAACCAUAAACUAUGCCGACUAGGAAUCAGACGAUGUUAAUUUUUUAAUGACUCGUUUGGC